RNAcentral lists this ribosomal RNA (324 nucleotides) under uncultured eukaryote. RNAcentral describes it as "partial 18S ribosomal RNA". It matches the Rfam family "Eukaryotic small subunit ribosomal RNA", at positions 1470 to 1796 of the family's 1831-position model. The record is from RNAcentral.
CCCUUAGAUGUUCUGGGCCGCACGCGCGCUACACUGAUGCAUUCAACGAGCACCCGCUGGGCCGAGAGGUCCGGCUAAUCUUUGAACGUGCAUCGUGCUGGGGAUAGAUGAUUGCAAUUAUUCAUCUUCAACGAGGAAUUCCUAGUAAACGCAAGUCAUCAGCUUGCAUUGAUUACGCCCCUGCCCUUUGUACACACCGCCCGUCGCACCUACCGAUUGAAUGGUCCGGUGAAAUUCUCGGACGCGGACUAGCGAUGUUAAUUCGGAGCUUGACUGUGAAAGUUAAUUAAACCUUACCAUUUAGAGGAAGGUGAAGUCGUAACA